Molecule: transfer RNA, 67 nt
Filed under: Ictidomys tridecemlineatus (thirteen-lined ground squirrel)
Lineage: Eukaryota; Metazoa; Chordata; Mammalia; Rodentia; Sciuridae
Description: Spermophilus tridecemlineatus (thirteen-lined ground squirrel) tRNA
Rfam family: tRNA
About the family: Transfer RNA (tRNA) molecules are approximately 80 nucleotides in length. Their secondary structure includes four short double-helical elements and three loops (D, anti-codon, and T loops).
Source: Rfam by way of RNAcentral
GGAUGUAGCUCAGUGGCAAAGCAUUUGUCUCACAUACAUGAAACCCUGGGUUAGACCCCCAGUUCCA